GAUAAUAUAUAUAUAAAUGAAUAAGGAAGCUAUUGUCCAUUUCUACUAUCAGCUUCUUGCAGGUUAUGAGAGGAUAAUAUUCAUUUGUUUCAUUGAUUGCUGGUUGUAUAGAGUUCAAUCCCACAUCUGUAUCUCCAUCUCAGACACUCUA
Molecule: long non-coding RNA, 151 nt
Organism: Ipomoea nil (Japanese morning glory)
Lineage: Eukaryota; Viridiplantae; Streptophyta; Magnoliopsida; Solanales; Convolvulaceae
Exons: 3
Source: RefSeq, a predicted model, not a curated record